UUUAAGUGCAACACUAUCUAACUUUGAUCAUCCGUUUUAUUUAAAAAAAUUAUAAUUAGUAUUUUUUAUUAUGAGAUGAUAAAACAUGAAUAUUACUUUAUGUGUGACUUACGUUUUUAAUUUUUUUUAAAAAAAUUUCAAAUAAGACGGAUGAUUAAAGUUUAGGGCUCCUUUGAUU
RNAcentral lists this microRNA precursor (178 nucleotides) under Oryza meridionalis. RNAcentral describes it as "MIR812 microRNA precursor family". It matches the Rfam family "MIR812 microRNA precursor family". The record is from Rfam by way of RNAcentral. Lineage: Eukaryota; Viridiplantae; Streptophyta; Magnoliopsida; Poales; Poaceae.